RNAcentral lists this long non-coding RNA (1034 nucleotides) under Homo sapiens (human). RNAcentral describes it as "HSALNT0282121". The record is from RNAcentral. Lineage: Eukaryota; Metazoa; Chordata; Mammalia; Primates; Hominidae.
CCCUGGGACAAAAGUCUAAGAGAUAUACAGUGCAAAGCCUCCGUGGACAUAAGAAGUAGACUUGUUACCAUGAUGUAAGCCCUGAGAGGGCAGGGACUGAGCCUUAUCUUUGGAUCUUCAGAGCUUUGCAGUGUCUGGCACAUAUUAGGUAUAUGAGACAUGUUUCCCAAAUAAAUGAACUCAAUCUUGCCCAAUCCCCACCAGCUGGUUGUAUGAAUGAGGGUGAGGUCACAGAAUGGGGAUAACUCAGAUUUCUUUGACAACUCUGGAUAAUGUUGGGCCUCAGCACCAAAAGUGGCCCCCUCCCAAAUCAUUCUAGUUACUUCCAGGAUCUUACAGAGAGUUUAAUCUGUGUUUCCGUACUGUACUCUCUUUUUCUUCCAUUCUGGUCUUUAUCCAAUGUUUUGAGAGGGACAGCACUUCAGUCAUGCCCACUCUGCAGACCACCACCUUCUCUGUGAGUACAGUGUACCUUCCUAGGUGCUUUUCUCCGUGUCCGCAAAGCUGCUACAAUGGAGACCAUGAUGGUGUCAUGGUCCCUUCUGACCUCUGGGAUUGAAGCCUUAUUGAUACUACAGAGAACUGUGGAGAAUGGCCUUUUGCCCUCCAUGGUCAUACACAUUUUUAAGUAUGAAGAAAAAUAUUAUUAUGACUGAUGCUAUGAACUUAGUGUGGCCCCACCAAAAUCAUACAUUGAAGCCCUACUCCCCAGUGGGAUGGUAUUUGGAAGAGGGGUCUUUGGGAGGUAAUUAGGUAUUGGGGGGGGGUGGAGCCCUUGUGAAUGGGAUUAGUGCCCGUAUAAGACGAGAUAUGAAAUUGAGAUCCCUCUCUUAACCAUCUGAAGAUACAAUAAGAAGGUAGUCUUCUGCAACCCAGGAAGAGAGCCCUAACCAGAACCCAUCCACGCUGGCACCCUGAUAUUGGACUUUCAGCCUUGAGAAGUGUGAGAAAGUAAGUGUUUGUUGUUUAAGCCACCCAGUCUGUGGUAUUCUGUUAUAGCAGUUCAAGUUGACUAAGACAGCUGGUUAAAGAUA